ACCACCCAGGGCCGGAAAGUUGGUCAAACCCGGUCAUUUAGAGGAAGUAAAAGUCGUAACAAGGUCUCCGUAGGUGAACCUGCGGAGGGAUCAUUACAAGAACGCCCGGGCUUCGGCCUGGUUAUUCAUAACCCUUUGUUGUCCGACUCUGUUGCCUCCGGGGCGACCCUGCCUUCGGGCGGGGGCUCCGGGUGGACACUUCAAACUCUUGCGUAACUUUGCAGUCUGAGUAAACUUAAUUAAUAAAUUAAAACUUUUAACAACGGAUCUCUUGGUUCUGGCAUCGAUGAAGAACGCAGCGAAAUGCGAUAAGUAAUGUGAAUUGCAGAAUUCAGUGAAUCAUCGAAUCUUUGAACGCACAUUGCGCCCCCUGGUAUUCCGGGGGGCAUGCCUGUUCGAGCGUCAUUUCACCACUCAAGCCUCGCUUGGUAUUGGGCAACGCGGUCCGCCGCGUGCCUCAAAUCGUCCGGCUGGGUCUUCUGUCCCCUAAGCGUUGUGGAAACUAUUCGCUAAAGGGUGUUCGGGAGGCUACGCCGUAAAACAACCCCAUUUCUAAGGUUGACCUCGGAUCAGGUAGGGAUACCCGCUGAACUUAAGCAUAUCAAUAAGCGGAGGAAAAGAAACCAACAGGGAUUGCUCUAGUAACGGCGAGUGAAGCAGCAAUAGCUCAAAUUUGAAAUCUGGCGUCUUCGACGUCCGAGUUGUAAUCGUAGAGGAUGCUUCCGAGUGGCCACCGACCUGUUGCCAAUAACUUUUACGCACCUACCCUUG
Molecule: ribosomal RNA, 771 nt
Filed under: Cladosporium sp. 5 BRO-2013
Lineage: Eukaryota; Fungi; Ascomycota; Dothideomycetes; Cladosporiales; Cladosporiaceae
Description: eukaryotic LSU rRNA
Rfam family: 5.8S ribosomal RNA (bases 252-405)
Source: RNAcentral